RNAcentral lists this ribosomal RNA (262 nucleotides) under uncultured bacterium. Its description in RNAcentral is "partial 16S ribosomal RNA". It matches the Rfam family "Bacterial small subunit ribosomal RNA", at positions 95 to 354 of the family's 1533-position model. The record is from RNAcentral.
UAGGCGAACGGGUGAGUAACACGUGAGCAACCUGCCCUAUACAACGGGAGUACCUACGGGAAACUGUAGUUAAUACGGUAUAAGACCACACAGUCGCAUGGCUGAGGGGUAAAAGGAGAAAUCCGGUAUAGGAUGGGCUCGCGGCGCAUUAGCUAGUUGGUGAGGUAACGGCUCACCAAGGCGACGAUGCGUAGCCGACCUGAGAGGGUGGACGGCCACACUGGGACUGAGAUACGGCCCAGACUCCUACGGAAGGCAGCAG